UUGAACGCUGGCGGCAUGCUUUACACAUGCAAGUCGAACGGUAACAGGCCUUCGGGUGCUGACGAGUGGCGAACGGGUGAGUAAUGCAUCGGAACGUACCCAGAGGUGGGGGAUAACGCAGCGAAAGCUGUGCUAAUACCGCAUGUGAUCUGAGGAUGAAAGCGGGGGACCGAGCAGCAAUGUUUGGCCUCGCGCCUUUGGAGCGGCCGAUGUCGGAUUAGCUAGUUGGUGGGGUAAAGGCCUACCAAGGCGACGAUCCGUAGCUGGUCUGAGAGGACGACCAGCCACGCUGGGACUGAGACACGGCCCAGACUCCUACGGGAGGCAGCAGUGGGGAAUUUUGGACAAUGGGCGCAAGCCUGAUCCAGCAAUGCCGCGUGCGGGAAGAAGGCCUUCGGGUUGUAAACCGCUUUUGGCAGGAACGAAACGGUGUCCGCUAAUACCGGGCGCUAAUGACGGUACCUGCAGAAUAAGCACCGGCUAACUACGUG
RNAcentral lists this ribosomal RNA (491 nucleotides) under uncultured bacterium. RNAcentral's name for it is "partial 16S ribosomal RNA". It matches the Rfam family "Bacterial small subunit ribosomal RNA", at positions 29 to 507 of the family's 1533-position model. The record is from RNAcentral.